UUUAAAUGUAGCUGCAGACAGCCAGUGGUGCAGGACGGAGCACUUAAGCUGCUGGUCACCGUGCUCCCCUCUCCGUUUGGUGCAGUGCUCAUCAUGUGUGUAUGUGUGGCUGUAUCAUGUGGAGUUCCCGGGAACGGGGAAGUGAUGUCGGCUCCUGGUGCAGUAGCUGAGCUCUAGGCACUGCUGUUUUU
Scatophagus argus is the source of this 191-nucleotide long non-coding RNA. RefSeq lists it as uncharacterized. NCBI's taxonomy places the organism in Eukaryota, Metazoa, Chordata, Actinopteri, Scatophagidae. The record is from RefSeq and is a predicted model, not a curated record. The transcript has 3 exons.